This 406-nucleotide ribosomal RNA is filed under the name uncultured bacterium. RNAcentral describes it as "partial 16S ribosomal RNA". It matches the Rfam family "Bacterial small subunit ribosomal RNA", at positions 30 to 526 of the family's 1533-position model. The record is from RNAcentral.
AUUGAACGCUGGCGGCAGGCCUAACACAUGCAAGUCGAACGAGUGGCGGACGGGUGAGUAAUGUCUGGGAACCUGCCCGAUAGAGGGGGAUAACUACUGGAAACGGUAGCUAAUACCGCAUACCAUCGGACUUGCCCAGUUGGGAGUAGCUAGUAGGCGGGGUAAUGGCACACCUUGGCGACUAUACCUAGCUGGGCUGAGAGGAUGAACAGCCACACUGGAACUGAGACACGGCCCAGACUCCUACGGGAGGCAGCAGUGGGGAAUAUUGCACAAUGGGCGCAAGCCUGAUGCAGCCAGGCCGCGUGUAUGAAGAAGGCCUUCGGGUUGUAAAGUACUUUCAGCGGGGAGGCGUUACUCGCAGAAGAAGCACCGGCUAACUCCGUGCCAGCAGCCGCGGUAAUUC